UACCUAACUCCGAUACUAGCCCUCUAAAG
Molecule: non-coding RNA, 29 nt
Filed under: Mus musculus (house mouse)
Lineage: Eukaryota; Metazoa; Chordata; Mammalia; Rodentia; Muridae
Source: RNAcentral